This 239-nucleotide ribosomal RNA is filed under the name uncultured bacterium. Its description in RNAcentral is "partial 16S ribosomal RNA". It matches the Rfam family "Bacterial small subunit ribosomal RNA", at positions 15 to 244 of the family's 1533-position model. The record is from RNAcentral.
GAUCCUGGCUCAGAACGAACGCUGGCGGCGCGUCUUAAGCAUGCAAGUCGAACGGCAAGAGAGAAGCUUGCUUCUCUCCUAGAGUGGCGGACUGGUGAGGAACACGUGGGUAAUCUACCCUUAAGAUGGGGAUAGCUGUUAGAAAUAGCAGGUAAUACCGAAUACACUCGAUAGUUCAUAAGAAGUAUUGAGGAAAGGAAGCUACGGCUUCGCUUGAGGAUGAGCUUGCGUCCCAUUAG